Molecule: non-coding RNA, 201 nt
Organism: Pelobates cultripes (western spadefoot toad)
Lineage: Eukaryota; Metazoa; Chordata; Amphibia; Anura; Pelobatidae
Source: the annotation of a GenBank genome assembly
GGACUAUGUGCAUUAAUCAUCCAUACCUACUGGUAAACCUCCACAAUUCAUAAAUUGUGAAAUAUGGAUUAGGUAGAUUAUAACAGUUUAUAGUCAUAAUUCUGGUGCUGGUUAGACACCCCACCCCCCUCCUUUUCAAUUCUGUGAAGUCUUUUACCAACUAACUCCUCAGCUGGACUAUAUUUUAAUAAUGAACACUGC